This 505-nucleotide ribosomal RNA is filed under the name uncultured bacterium. RNAcentral's name for it is "partial 16S ribosomal RNA". It matches the Rfam family "Bacterial small subunit ribosomal RNA", at positions 28 to 507 of the family's 1533-position model. The record is from RNAcentral.
GACGAACGCUGGCGGCGUGCCUAAUACAUGCAAGUAGAACGCACAGUUUAUACCGUAGCUUGCUACACCAUAGACUGUGAGUUGCGAACGGGUGAGUAACGCGUAGGUAACCUGCCUGGUAGCGGGGGAUAACUAUUGGAAACGAUAGCUAAUACCGCAUAAUAUUGAUUAUUGCAUGAUAAUUGAUUGAAAGAUGCUAUUGCAUCACUACCAGAUGGACCUGCGUUGUAUUAGCUAGUAGGUGAGGUAACGGCUCACCUAGGCGACGAUACAUAGCCGACCUGAGAGGGUGAUCGGCCACACUGGGACUGAGACACGGCCCAGGAUCCUACGGGAGGCAGCAGUAGGGGAUCUUCGGCAAUGGACGAAAGUCUGACCGAGCAACGCCGCGUGAGUGAAGAAGGUUUUCGGAUCGGAAAGCUCUGUUGUAAGAGAAGAAAGGGUGUGAGAGUGGAAAGUUCACACUGUGACGGUAUCUUACCAGAAAGGGACGGCUAACUACGUG